Long non-coding RNA from Mastomys coucha (southern multimammate mouse), 471 nucleotides. RefSeq lists it as uncharacterized. Lineage: Eukaryota; Metazoa; Chordata; Mammalia; Rodentia; Muridae. The transcript has 2 exons. The record is from RefSeq and is a predicted model, not a curated record.
UCUUUGGGAACAGAGAUUUCUCUCUGCCUGGCAUCAGUUUGACAAGCAUGGCUUUCACAGUUCUUGAGUUCCUGGAAAGCUUCCUGGUAUCAAAUGAUGCUUCAGAAUAGGAACUGGGCAAUGGCUUCUUUGCAAAAGUCCACACUCAGCCUCUGUUCCCUGGCCAAGGGAUACCCAAGCCUUGGCCUGAUGACAGUCACAGGAUUUUUCUAACAUAAAGUCUGAGAAAUCUAACUUUAACAACACAGAGGCAAGAAAACUGCUCAGAAGAUCCCAAACCUUGGACUAAGGCUGAACUCCCUGCCAUGGACUGUAGGACUGAGAAAAGUCCUGACUGAAUGACAGCAAGGAUGGCAAGGAUAGUGAAAAAAAGUCAGAGAAAUCCAUCAAAAUGUGCUAACCUGAGAAUAAAGAAGAAUUUAUUUUGUAAUUUCUAAAAAAAAAAAAAAAAAAAAAAAUCAUGUGUUUCAA